This 375-nucleotide ribosomal RNA is filed under the name uncultured eukaryote. Its description in RNAcentral is "partial 18S ribosomal RNA". It matches the Rfam family "Eukaryotic small subunit ribosomal RNA", at positions 592 to 976 of the family's 1831-position model. The record is from RNAcentral.
CAAUAGCGUAUAUUUAAGUUGUUGCAGUUAAAAAGCUCGUAGUUGGAUUUCGGUUAAGAGCGACCGGUCCGCCGUUUGGUGUGCACUGGUUGGUUUUAACUUCCUGUAGAGGACGUGCUCUGGGUUUAACGACCUGGACUCGGAGUCUACGUGGUUACUUUGAAAAAAUUAGAGUGUUCAAAGCGGGCUUACGCUUGAAUAUUUCAGCAUGGAAUAACACUAUAGGACUCCUGUCCUAUUUCGUUGGUCUCGGGACGGGAGUAAUGAUUAAGAGGAACAGUUGGGGGCAUUCGUAUUUCAUUGUCAGAGGUGUAAUUCUUGGAUUUAUGAAAGACGAACUUCUGCGAAAGCAUUUGCCAAGGAUGUUUUCAUUAA